Molecule: long non-coding RNA, 610 nt
Organism: Gavialis gangeticus (Gharial)
Lineage: Eukaryota; Metazoa; Chordata; Crocodylia; Gavialidae
Exons: 2
Source: RefSeq, a predicted model, not a curated record
AUCCCCAUCCUUUUUAAAAAAAAAAAAAAAAAUGAGAACAUUAACAUUUUUUUCCAAAAAAACUCAAAGUAUUAAACCAGGAGAUAGAGCUAGCUGGCAUGUCUUUGUCAGAUGGAUGUGAAUUCUUCCCGCAAACAAUGCCUAUUUAUAGCUUGGAAUUGAAAAUGUCAGCCAUGAGAAGCCGUGGAACCAGAUUGUCAGCAGCAAUUAGGCAUUAAAAACCAAACCAACAGACAAUCUGAAGGAAAGCAGACAAUGACAAAAAGAAGGGACAGCACAUUACUGCCUGGGGCACUUGGAAAUCUGCACCCGGAGGCUCUAGCGAGACAGACCCACAAGGAACAGACUGAUUGAUUGCCUGGCAUCAGGGGAGAGCUGCUGAAUAUGGGUGCCCUUCAAAACACAAAUGAAGGAAGGUGGUGGGAAGUGAUGAGUCUAAGAAGAAUCAGAGGCUCAUGACUGGAUGGAGACCUGAGGAGUGUGCUACGGUACUUCUCUGUCAAGAAAUGAUUCGGUAACAAACUGUGAUGACCUGGCAGUUGUCAAUUCUGUCUUGUUUGGUUCAGCUCAGACUGAUGCUGGGCCUAAAUAAAGGCAACCGGAGUGAAAA